AAUAGAUACCCGGGUAGUCCACGCCGUAAACGAUGUCGACUUGGAGGUUGUUCCCUUGAGGAGUGGGCUUCCGGAGCUAACGCGUUAAGUCGACCGCCUGGGGAGUACGGCCGCAAGGUUAAAACUCAAAUGAAUUGACGGGGGGCCCGCACAAGCGGUGGAGCAUGUGGUUUAAUUCGAUGCAACGCGAAGAACCUUACCUACUCUUGACAUCCAGAGAACUUAGCAGAGAUGCUUUGGUGCCUUCGGGAACUCUGAGACAGGUGCUGCAUGGCUGUCGUCAGCUCGUGUUGUGAAAUGUUGGGUUAAGUCCCGCAACGAGCGCAACCCUUAUCCUUUGUUGCCAGCGGUCCGGCCGGGAACUCAAAGGAGACUGCCAGUGAUGAACUGGAGGAAGGUGGGGAUGACGUCAAGUCAUCAUGGCCCUUACGAGUAGGGCUACACACGUGCUACAAUGGCGCAUACAAAAGAAGAAGCGACCUCGCGAGAGCAAGCGGACCUCAUAAAAGUGCGUCGUAGCCCGGA
RNAcentral lists this ribosomal RNA (525 nucleotides) under uncultured bacterium. RNAcentral's name for it is "bacterial SSU rRNA". It matches the Rfam family "Bacterial small subunit ribosomal RNA", at positions 777 to 1297 of the family's 1533-position model. The record is from RNAcentral.